Molecule: ribosomal RNA, 236 nt
Filed under: Rhabditida sp. 3000ed
Lineage: Eukaryota; Metazoa; Nematoda; Chromadorea; Rhabditida
Description: partial 28S ribosomal RNA
Source: RNAcentral
AACGUGAAUCGCUGGAGUCUGCGGAGAGAGUUGACGUAACCCGGUAGCUAAGUUGUUCUUCGGAGCGAUGGUGCUGCUUAUGGUUGCAUUGGUGGCGUUGGUUAGCAACGACAGCUGCGUAGUUUAGCCCACUUCGGUGGUGUCUAGCUUGUGGUCUUGUUGUUGUCGGCUAGCGUGUAAGCCCUGUUCACAGGGUGCCAAUGUCCUAUUCGACCACCUUUCUAACCCGUUUUAAA